GCCCAGGUAGCUCAGCGGGCAGAGCACACCCUUGGUAAGGGUGAGGUCGCCGGUUCAAGUCCGGUCCUGGGCU
This 73-nucleotide transfer RNA is filed under the name Thermocrinis ruber. RNAcentral describes it as "tRNA-Thr (GGT) (tRNA-Thr-GGT-1-1)". It matches the Rfam family "tRNA". From Rfam's summary of the family: Transfer RNA (tRNA) molecules are approximately 80 nucleotides in length. Their secondary structure includes four short double-helical elements and three loops (D, anti-codon, and T loops). Lineage: Bacteria; Pseudomonadati; Aquificota; Aquificia; Aquificales; Aquificaceae. The record is from RNAcentral. RNAcentral also lists the same sequence under 2 other names.